AAAGCGUGCGCAGGCGGUUAUAUAAGACAGAUGUGAAAUCCCCGGGCUCAACCUGGGAACUGCAUUUGUGACUGUAUAGCUAGAGUACGGUAGAGGGGGAUGGAAUUCCGCGUGUAGCAGUGAAAUGCGUAGAUAUGCGGAGGAACACCGAUGGCGAAGGCAAUCCCCUGGACCUGUACUGACGCUCAUGCACGAAAGCGUGGGGAGCAAACAGGAUUAGAUACCCGGGU
RNAcentral lists this ribosomal RNA (230 nucleotides) under uncultured bacterium. RNAcentral's name for it is "partial 16S ribosomal RNA". It matches the Rfam family "Bacterial small subunit ribosomal RNA", at positions 562 to 791 of the family's 1533-position model. The record is from RNAcentral.